Molecule: ribosomal RNA, 834 nt
Filed under: uncultured bacterium
Lineage: Bacteria
Description: bacterial SSU rRNA
Rfam family: Bacterial small subunit ribosomal RNA
Source: RNAcentral
AGAGUUUGAUCCUGGCUCAGAGUGAACGCUGGCGGCGUGGAUUAGGCAUGCAAGUCGUGCGAUGAUAUAAUGGGGACUGGUCCCGCAAGGGACCUGUCCCUAAUUAUACCAUAGCGGCAAACGGGUGAGYAACGCGUGAGUAAUCUACCUUUAAGCCGAGAAUAGCCUUGCGAAAGCGAGGGUAAUGCUUGAUGUGUUCCCGACAACAAAAGUUGUCGGGAGUAAAGAUGGCCCGCAAGGGCUAUCGCUUAGAGAUGAGCUCGCGUCCUAUCAGCUAGUUGGUAGGGUAAUGGCCUACCAAGGCUAUUGACGGGUAGCUGGCCUGAGAGGGUGUUCAGCCACACGGGGACUGAGAUACUGCCCCGACUCCUACGGGAGGCWGCAGUCGAGAAUAUUUAGCAAUGGGCGAAAGCCUGACUAUGCGACGCCGCGUGAGGGAUGAAGGUCUUCGGAUCGUAAACCUCUUUCGAUGGAGAAGAAAUCCAGCCCAUUAAUAGUGGGCUGGGAUGACGGUAYCUAGAGAAGAAGCCACGGCUAACUCCGUGCCAGCAGCCGCGGUAAUACGGAGGUGGCGAGCGUUACUCGGAUUCAUUGGGUGUAAAGGGCAGGUAGGUGGCUAUGUAAGUUGGAGGUGAAAUCCUCUGGCUCAACCAGAGAACUGCCUUCAAAACUGCAUGGCUUGAGGCUAGAAGAGGAGAGUGGAAUUCCCGGUGUAAGGGUGAAAUCUGUAGAUAUCGGGAGGAACGCCUGUGGCGAAAGCGGCUCUCUGGUCUAGCCCUGACACUGAGCUGCGAAAGCUAGGGGAGCAAACAGGAUUAGAUACCCUGGUAGUCC